AUUGAACGCUGGCGGCAUGCCUUACACAUGCAAGUCGAACGGCAGCACGGGUGCUUGCACCUGGUGGCGAGUGGCGAACGGGUGAGUAAUACAUCGGAACAUGUCCUGUAGUGGGGGAUAGCCCGGCGAAAGCCGGAUUAAUACCGCAUACGAUCUACGGAUGAAAGCGGGGGACCUUCGGGCCUCGCGCUAUAGGGUUGGCCGAUGGCUGAUUAGCUAGUUGGUGGGGGAAAGGCCUACCAAGGCGACGAUCAGUAGCCGGUCCGAGGGGACGACCAGCCCCUGGGAGGCGAGGACGCGCCCCCACCCCGGGGGGGAGGCACGGGUGGGAAUUUUUGGGGAGGGAGCGAUGGCCUAUUCCGGACAUUGGGCGUGUGUCAAAAACACCUUUGGGUUGUAAGGGAUUUUGGCCGGAGAGUAAUACCUUGCCCUUAACCGGGACGGGGAUGACCGGACCGGGAGAAAAAGCCCCGGCUAACUCCGUG
This 485-nucleotide ribosomal RNA is filed under the name uncultured bacterium. RNAcentral's name for it is "partial 16S ribosomal RNA". It matches the Rfam family "Bacterial small subunit ribosomal RNA", at positions 28 to 507 of the family's 1533-position model. The record is from RNAcentral.